GCGCGGUGGGGGCGAGCGCUUGCCGCCCGCAGUGUGAGAGGAGCCGGUUUGCCCUUUGAUACUGUGCCUUUAAAACUUCCUCGGCUUCCCACUCCUGAAGCGAAGAGAAAUUAAGCGUGAGGUAAAAUCCACGCCCAGGAGGAUCAGAGUUAGUUUGCGCUCGGUGCAGCUGCGAAAAUGAUGCUCUGUGAAAUCCUGAGCCCCCUUCCCCCCCGAACUUCACCGAAAAGAGCCUCCGACCCUUCCGAGAGACGGUGGUCGUCGUGAACAAACUCGACGGAACUGUUCACUUAGCGCGCCUCGGGGGAGAAGUUGAGGCAGGCUCUGGCAGGAGCGACCCCUUCCCGGCUCCUGCGGGACGUUUUGGUUCCCGCUCCAGGAGUCCCAGGACUGGGAAUGACAGCUGGGGCCCCGCACCUCGGGCUGGGCCCGACACCCGUCCGCUGCGCCGGGACCUCCGCUUUCUGGAGUCGGGCCUUUCGGCUUCCUUGUUGAAAUCGUGACAGCUUUGGAGUGAAAUUAGGACAAUGAUCCUAUUUUUUUUUUUCUCUAGAGUUUAUUACCUCUGCCUUAAGAUGUUUCUCUCAUGGACAGAAACUUAGAAGAUUCCGUUUUUGUAUUUUCUUUUCCAGAAACUUUUGAUGGAAUACAUAAAAUUUGGACUUUAAAAACGGCCGCCCACUUUGUUGCCUAGCGCUUUUGUGUUUGGGAAGGGGGCUGCCUUUUCAGCUUAUUUUUAAAUCACCGACCUUGGUCGUUUUUUUCCGUGUCUCUAGAAGUUAAUCUUUACCUGAGGCCUUUCUCUUGGUUUUAUGGCAAAAAAGUUAAGUGGACAGUGGUUUAAGCCUACCCUAAAGAACUAUGUAGGUCUCCCGCCCACGCCUCUUUUUUAACUGUAUCGGACUCCCAUGAAAACUGGGCAAACUGCUUUGAUUUUAGGACACAGAAAACAUCGUAAGGGGGAUUUGGGGCACUUAUCUUAAUAGAAUUAUUGGUUUAUGGUGUUUAUUAACUUAGAUGGCAUUAGGUCUUUACUGUAUUUGAGGUUAUUGCUUGAUGAUAAGCAAAUGUAGGAAGUCAAGAAACUCUUAAAACUGGAGUUAUUCUCUGGGCGGUAUUUUGUAGUAUUACAUGGUUUUAACAGAUUCUGAAAUGUCAGGUGAAGCCCUUGACUGAUAACAUGGACUGUUGGUUCUUUUUAAAACUUUAAAUAGAUUACUGAGAAGGGAGAUAUAAAAUGCUUGAUAAUUGUGCAUCUUUUUUAACAGUGGAAAUGGGAAGAAAUGGGGAGGAUAGUGUUUUUCUAGAAUUUAAUAACUAGUAGUUAUUCUAGAAACCAGAAAUAUGCUUGAGGAACUCCAAUAAGGGUAAAAUUGUACAUUGUAUUUUUAAAAUGUUAAGGAGAAUAUGUACUUGUAAAGCUAAAAUACUCAAAUGAGCAGCAUUGAAUGAGAUAAAAUAGAAUAAUUUUUCCAUAUAUCAUUUUUCCUCAGAUUAAAACAAUAGCUAUCUUGAUUUGCUUUAAAAUUUAAGGUAUAAUUAAAUUUGGCAGGUACCUAUUUGGGAUCAUUCAAAAUACUUUAUUUCAUUUAUUAUAAACAAUUCCUUUCCUCAGUAAUAGGUUUUUGAGCAGUGUGGUUUGCUUGAGAUGCUGGCACUUAAUUACAGUAGAUGUCAUUACAUUUUUCAUAUCAUUGCUCUAGUUUUUCUUCACUGUGUUUAGUUAGGUACUAUUGGCAUUAAUUUGUCGGCUCUCAAAUUUAAAUUAUGGAGAAAUAAUAGGUACAAUCCUUAGAUAUUAAAUCUAGUGUUAGGAUAAAAUAGGUUUAUUUAAAGAGAAUAAUGUUUCUGAUAGUUCUUUUAAUCAUAAAAAUAAAAAAAGAAUUAAUUAUGUUUUAAGUUUCUUGAUGUAUCUAAAAACUAUUCACAUUAGAAGUGAUCUCCCAAGUGUUUCAGAAAUGUUUAUAGUAUAGAGUGGAAAAGUUAGUUUUCUGUUAGAAUAUAUUUCCAAAGAAUACAAAAUAAAAAAAGCUUUCAUUGAAUUCAGAGUUAAAUCUUAAAUAAGAAAUAGUAAAAUUUGAUCUAAGUAUUUUAAACUGUAUUUUCAUUGAGGACUUUUUAACAGUGCCUUCUAGUAAGUGUACUGAAAGUAAAUUAGUACAAUGUAAGUACCCCAAUGUGGCUGCUUUGUUUGUGGCUAUUGAGGCUUUUUUCUCCGCAUCUUUUUGAAGGACGAGUCCAAGAAAUUACCAAGAGGAUUCUGAGGAAGAUUGAGAUGAAGGAGAAAAAAUUCAAACAUGAUUAUGGUGUAUAUGUGUGUUAAUUUGAAGCAGGGAAGGGGUUGAAAACAAGAGUUAAUGGUCAAAAUAUUCUUUCAAAAUCCCAAGCAGUUUUUAGUGUAUUAUAUAAUUGACUGUCUAGCCAACCUGAAGUUAUUGAAUAUUAUAAAAUACAGCAGAUCCCAGAAAAAUAAAUCGUUUCUGAAAAUCCUUAAUCAUGGCUAUGUCAAGUAUGUAACCUACUCUAUAUUGUCUAAAUCGCACUAUUUGAAGCCAAUUUAUAAAUUAAAUGUGUUAUAAAAUUAAUUAAAUAGGUAAUUUCCCUUUUAAGAGAAAUGCCCCUUUUUGAGGGACUAUUUUUUAAAACAUCAAAAAUAGCCCUAAUUCUUUGAGUAAAGCAAUAGUUAUAUUAAUUAAAAGUUAUACUUUUAACAUGAGGAAAUGCUAUUUAUAUUGGCCUUGGAAGCAUUUAUGCUAAGUAGUUUGUGGCCCAGUUUCCAUUUCUGUAUCUGUGCUGCCUUUGACAAAGGAUUCAGUAUGGAGGGUGUGAAAGAUUUUAAAGGGAGAAUUAGUAAAACUAGCUAUGUGGGUUUUUCACCGGUCAGCCCUAUGAGCCUAUGUCCACGUGAAUUCAGAACCAGAGGAGAAGUUCUAAGAAUCUGAUUCCCCACAGCUCCUUUGCACUGAUUCCUGGUGAGUUAGUAGCAAAGAGCCAUCUCUGCCAUUUCCAAAGCCGACUUCAUGAUCCACAGCAAAUCAAACCCACGGAAUCUUUUAGUCUUGUCCAGUUCAGCUCCACUUCCUUGCCAGGGGCAUAACAGCCGAAGUUAAAAGACUUAUACUCAAAUGGGAAAAUUAGUGCCAUUUGUGUAUAUGCAGUAGCCUUAUUCAAACUGCUUUCAACCUAAUUGGAAAAAAAAAGUAUGAUUUGAUUAUAAGUCCUCCAGGGUGGGUAGUGUGUAGGAGACUGCGGUUCAAGACUGCAUUUAGGUUUUUCACUUAUUUUGAAUUAUUUAGAGUUUGUCUUGUAGCUCUCUGGUUUGUUUCUUUGUGACUUACUCAGCCUCUACAAUUUGGAAGAGAGAGAAAGCACAAUACAAUGGUAAAUUUUAAACGUGUAAGCUGGUACUAUAUUGGUCGCAUAAAACUUCCACUUCUGCUGUGGGAACUCCCUGUUGGAUUUUCUUCUUUGUACUUGAAAUCUAAGUUCUUUACUUGGAAGUAAUUCUUAUUCUGAGAAGGGCAGCAGAAAAAGGAAAAAAAAAAAAAAUCCUGCAUCAGGCAACUGAUUUUUUAAAUUAUCUCUGAAAUCUCAAGUAGAUUUUGGCUACUAGUAAACUGGACAUGUAAACAUAAGUUAAAUUAGCUCAGAAAAGUCUGUUCCAGAAACUGUCCUGUUUGUGAUUUGUUUUUUAGAAAAACUGAUCUUAAUGUGACAUGUAAUAUUUCUUCUAGAUUAAUACUGUUAACAUAUUUGAGGUGAAACAAGUUUAAGAAUCCAAGGUAUAAAUACAUGCAAAGGAUUGAUUCCCUAAAAGUCAAAGCAGUAAGAUCUUAUAAGCUAAAAUAACCUGAGAUUUUUGAAUUAUAAUACAUGCUCAGGUAGAAAUUCCAGUCAUAAAGUCAUUGAGUAACCCUGUGGGGUUCUGGUCAUUUUUUCUUUCUUUUAGCCUGACCUUUUACUGAUUAUCUCAACUUUGUUAGCUUUUUAUUUUUUUUAAAGUCUCAAAUACAAAGCAAUAAACUAAAAACAAAAAAACUGUGAACUUGCUGUGUUAAAUCUAUGUAUAGUGAAUGAAGUUUUUAAAUUAGAAUUUAAUUAGCUUUUAACUAGUCUGACUUCAAAUAAUUGACUAGUACUGUUGUCACUUGACCUUUCUUUUCUGUGCCAUGACCCAAAGUUGGUUUACUUUUUAUGGGUGAGAGUAGAACUAGAUUAAUUAAAAGCAAAACAAGCAAAUCCCAGCUUGCACCUGACUUCAGUGGUUUGUAACACUGCUGCAUGUUUGCCAGCAUCCUAAUAAUGAUAAAAUUGUAGGUUGUUUUAUGCUUUAUUUUUAUUUUUGGGAUCAGGAUUAGGGUGAUUGAAAAAUGAAAAGUAUAACAUUCACUUUUUAAAUUAAUGUGUAUAUUCAAAUUAACUUAUAGUAAUAAAAAUCAGUAGUUUGAAUUUAUAACAAAGCAAAAACUAUUAUUUGUACCUGGACUGUUGUAUGGUAAGUAGCGUUGUAAUUAUUUCUAAUAAAAUAAAAAAAUUAGAAUUUUAUAGAACUUUUUAACCUCUGGAAACAAAUUAAUAGUUUUGUACCAAAGAGGACAUUUUUAAUAAAAACAUCUUAAAGAUUAAAUUAGUCAAAACAUAUUUUUUCAGUUAUUUAUUAUUUUUGAACCUGAAGUCACUGAAAAUAUUACAGAUAAAAGAAUAUGUGAAAAUGUAAUGAAUAAAAGCUAGCUGUUCUUUUUUUUUUUUUGAAGAACGAAAUCUCAUACCUGCCAUUUUAAUGUAAUUUUUAUUCUUGGGAUCUAGAGGUUUUCAGGUUCUGGAGAAAAGGUCAUAAAUCAUAAGUAAUGUCAAAGAUGAUGAAAACGUUUAGAAGAUUCAGUUUCCUUUUAAAAUGCAUGUAUUUAGUACUUGGUCAAAGCUAAUGUUCUGUAUUAUUUAAUUAACACAUUAUCAAAAAGAGACCAUUGAAAAUGGAAAGCUAAUUAUAAUACAGUUAACAGUAAUUUAAAAUAAUACAUUUGUUUGAAAAGUAAAUCUUUGAAGAAAAAGUUCAUUAUAUUAGUCCUAAUAGAAUUUUUUGCUAAAUUUAUUAAAGUAGAAAUAAGUACACAUUUCAGAAUGAUAGACAAGUUUCUAUGUGUUAGCUAAAAUUAUAUUGGAAAUUUUAAAUAUAAAUGGAACUCCAUGCUGGUCUCCCAUUAAGAGUGGCAGUGAUCCAAGUACUCGUACCAUCUUCUGUUUCCUUCCCAGGUGCAUUAGCAGGGAGCUGGAUUGGAAUCGAGCAAAAAGCAGAGGUCUAAUGAGAAAACCAGCUCUGUGAGAUUAAAGAGAUUUUAUUUAUUUCAGAGGCAGAGCCACAGACAGACGGAGAGACAGACAGAUCUUCCAUCCAUUGAUUCACUCCCCAAAUGGCCGCAACUGUCAGAGCUCAGCUGAUCUGAAGCCAGGAGCCUCCUCUGGGCCCCCACACAAAUGCAGGGUUCAAGUACCUGGGCCAUCCUCCACUGCUUUCCCAGGCUACCAACAAAGGGCUGGAUCAGAAGAGGAGCAUCUGGGAUAUGAACCAGCACCCAUAUGGUAUGCUGGCACUGCAGGCAGAGGCUUAACCUACUAGACCACAGUACCGGCUCCAAGACUGUGAUUUUAAAUCAUUGAAAGAAAGGGCCAAAACAGACAAGUUUGGCAUAAUAAAUGGAGAAUUGCAGAAACCUGUGGCAGUCUAGAAAAUGGCCCUAGUUUAUGUGUGAUCAUGUAUGAGAGUGAACAACAAGGAAAUGAGCAAAUGUUGCUUAAAUGUUACCAAGCCCUGCCUUGUCCAAGCAAUGGUAUGGGUAAGCAGGUGUUGGGAAUGGAAGAGUCUUAGCAUGCACUUCUUUUGUCUCCUCCAUACCCUCAACCGUAGAGAUGCUACACCAUUAUCAUGCAUGGUUAUGGACUUCAAGUUGGCAGCCCUGUGUUUCAGUCUCAGUUCGGCACUUAACUUCUGGCUAUGUGACUGGAAUGGACUAAAAGCUGUCCUCCUCACUUUCAUUUGUUAAAUGGGGUUGUUGCUAAGCAUGAUAAUUCCCUCACAGGGAUACUGGAAGGGUCAAAUGAACUAGCUGGUGUAAGUUAAAAUAUUUUGUAAAUGUCCCUGGAUAUUUUUUACUACAAAACUUAGAUGUCUCACUGUAAAUAUUUGCAAUGGGAAGAAGGAAUUGGAGAUUUUUUUUUCCUUUUUAGUUAUUGAAGUUCUUGAACCUUUGGGACAUCAUUAAAUUCUGGGAUUCCUAACCUGGAGUUCGUUGAUCACAAGGGAGCUUAUAGACAGCAUUUAGGGGACAGGGAACUUGUAUUAAAAAACAAAAAUUGCAUUUUUAAAAAAGAUUUAUUUAUUUAUUUGAAAGGCGGAGUUACGGAGAGGCAGAGACAGAAGUCUUCCAUCUGCUGGUUCACUUCCCAAGUGGCCUCAACUGCCAGAGCCGUGCCAAUGCAAAGCCAGGAGCCAGGAGCCACCUUCAGGUCUCCCCAGCUAGUGCAGGGGCCCAAGGACUUGGGCCAUCUUCCACUGCUCUCCCAGGCCAUAGCAGAGAGCUAGAUCAGAAGUGGAGCAGCCAGGGGUCAAACCCGCACCCAUAUGGGAUGCUGGAACUGCAGGUGGCGGCUUUAUCUGCUACGCCACAGUGCCAGCCCCAAAAAUUGCAUUUUAUUUUCAUUAAACUCUAAUUGAAAUUUAGCAUUUUAUUGAAUUAUGAAUGGAGGUAACAAGUGACCACAGUACUUAGCAGAACCUAUGACAACCAACUGUAGGAAUCACAUUUGUAUCACAUUUAGUAGUUGCAGAUAAUUAGAAAUAAUGUUUGGGGCCAGCAUUGUGACAUGGCAGGGAAAGCUGCUGCCUGGGAUGCUGGCAUCCCAUAUGGGUCCUAGUUUGAGUCCUGGCUGCUGCACUUCUGAUCCAGCUCCCUGCUAAUGGCCUGGAAAAGCGCAGAAGAUGGCUCAUGUACUUGGACUCCUGUACCCUUAUGAGAGACCUCUGAAUGAAGCUUCUGGCUCCUGCAUUUUAGGGGAUGAACCAGCAAAGGAAGAUUUCUCUCUUUCUGUCUCUCCAUCUCUGUAACUAAGUUUCAAAUAAGUCUUAAAAAAAAUACUUCUGUGUGAUACAGCUUUGUUAUUAAACCUAGUGGUAGGUGUCAUUAUUUAAUACAUUAACAAAGAAUCAUAAAUAUUAUAUCAAAAUUUGUUUUAGUAUUUAGAUAUUUCAGUGUCACUGAUUUCUGUUGUAAUUUAUGUUAUGUGUUUCAUCUGAGAAGAGAUCAGUCGCUGCAAAAAAAGGAAGUUUUGCUUUGUUUUUGCAGUUAUUGUUAAAAUAGCAGGCUUACAUGGGUUUCAGCAGAUAAUGAUAUUAAAACAAACAGUAAACUACCUGCACUCUAACUAGGCUUCCAGAAAGAAAGAUUCUAGGUGUGCAAGUUAAAACAGCAUAAACUUGCAAUAUAAUGAAAUAGUGCCCUGGACAGUGUAGAACAUAUUCUUUUCACUCUGAAAAGUUUCAUCUCUGUAAUGCAUGGGGAAAGAUUCAGGCCAGACUGCACCAGUGCACUCAGAGGCAUGGAGAGCAUAGUAAAGGACAAACAGCACACAUCCCUUACAGUGUAAUGUCUUCUUGACACCUGCUGAUGAUGCUGGGACAACAGGCAAAAGCAUAUUCUUCUGAAACUCAAAUAGAGUGAUAGAUGUUUCCAUGUCAUUUUUAAAUUUUAUUUUGUUUUUGUUUGUUUGUUUUGUGGCUAUUGUAGCAUUUGACUCAUAAAAUGGCAAUAACUUACGUUAUUUUGCUUUUACUGGACUUUGUUUAAACAUUUCAUCUGAUGAGUGCCCUUACGGGAUGCCUAAUAUACUUUAUGAGUAUGUGCACCUUUCUUCGUAAAUAGAGGUUUAAUUCUCUCUUUUUUUUUUUAAGAUUUACUUUAUUUACUUGAAAGUUAGAGUUACACAGAGAGAAAAGGAGAGGCAGAGAGAGAAAGAAAGAGAGAGAGAGAGAGAUCUUCUAUCCGCUGGUUCACUCCCCUGAUGGCCGCAAUGGCUGGAACUAUACUGAUCUGAAGCCAGGAGCCAGGAGCUUCUUCCGGGUCUCCCACGUGGGUGCAGGGGCCCAAGGACUUGGGCCAUCUCCUACUGCUUUCCCUGGCCAUAGCAGAGAGCUGAAUCGGAAGAGGAGCAGCCGGGACUCAAACCGACGCCCAUGUGGGAUGCUGGCAUUGCAGGCGGCGGCUUUACCCGCUAUGCCACAGCGCUGGUCCCCAAAAGAAGGUUAGUUUUUUGAAGUUUAAGUCCUGUCUAGCCAUAUCCUCUGCUGAUCUUAUUUAGCAUCUAAAAAAAGAUAAUUCAGUAAAUUACAUGGUAUACAUUUUAAGAAGUGGAAACAUUUUUUUUUGCUUCCAUAUUCUCCUCUGCUAGCUUUGCUUUCUGCUGAAAUCCAUGGCUGCAUUUGUGAAAACACAACAAAUAAGCUAGCAUUUAUCUCCAUCUUGUUUGUUUUGAUUUCUCACAUUUGAAUAUUUGAGCUUCCUCAAUAUCUGGGGGCAUGUUACAGUUGUCACAGCUCCUUUAUCUUUGCCAUCUGAUAGUGCAUGUCUUUGAAGUCUGCUUGUGAUAUGUAGUGAUUGGGAGCAUCAGAGAAGCAUAGACUGUCAGAUCUGCAAAGGUCUAAAUUCCCUUUUUUGCUCGGUGAUCAGUGGGGCAAGGAAGGUUAAGGGACUUACCCAUGCUUCAUAUUGGGUAAGUGGUGGACUCAAUAGUGUAAGCCUAUCAAUAGAUUAUCAAUCCAUACUGUGUUACCACACCAGCCUUUCCUUAAAAGUGCAUUCUAUUCUGCACAGAAUUCUCUGGUCACAUCAGUUUUGAAAAUCCUGAAUGUUUUUUGUUCAUUAGAUAUUCCAAUAACUUCUGUAAUAUAACUUGUUGGAUUCUAACUUGGCAUUUUCUAAGUUUAUUGAUCAUAGUAUUCUCCUUUCUCUCCCCCUAGAAGUCUAAUAAGGGGUUAUACUUCGGGAAAUCCUGUUCUGUGCAUUGGUGAGCUUUGCUGCUGCUGCUGCUGCUGCUGCUGCUGAGGAUAACAAUAACUUUAAUUGACUUACUACGUCAUAGGCACUGUUCUAAAUACUUUACACAAAUAAGAUUCAUUUAUUCUUCACAGCAGCCCAGUGAAUCAGAUACUAUUAUUGCUUCUGUUUUAUAGAUGAGGAGAGGAAAGGCCAGAGAGACAGCCGCAAUAUAGUAAUUGUGCUGCUCAGGUAGUAGUGUUAGGUUUUUAACCAGGGAUUGUCAACCUCAGCACUGUUGGCACAUUGGCCACGUAAUUUGUUAUUACAGAGGGCUGCCCUGUGCAUUGCAGACUGUGAAGCAGCAUCCCUGCCCUUUUCCUGAUUUUGUCUACCAAAAAUGUCUCUAGACAUUGCCAAAUGUCCCCUAAAUUGCUCCCGAUGGAGAACUGCCGUUGUAAACUUAUAGCAGAAAUAUACUUUCUUAAAUGACUUUCUUAGUAAAUUUUACAGUGACUCAUGAUCAUGAUUGGGCAAAUUACACAUUGUAGGUUCUGUGACUGCGUCAAGCAGUGUACACUUAGGUGGGAGUGGGUAUGAGUUAAACUUGACCUAUACUGCUCCCUUCCGCUCCAUUUCCUUACACUGCUUCUGGUGAGAGCCAAAAGGCCAAAAUUUGUUGAUUCUGCCCUCAAUUUCUUUUAACUGCCCUAAGCACACACCCCCAAUUCAUAUAUUGUUUCCAUUUUAUACUUUCCCUUGGACUUGACCCAUAUAAACACACACAAAGUCUUGUUUUUUUUUUUUUUUUUUUUUUUUCUGUGUAAUAGAGGACUUAACACAUCUGAAUUACUCUACAGUAAGAACUUGUGUCUGAGCCAAGAUUAACAGCCGCCAAGCAAAACAUACCCAGCAAUGAAUAACUCACAAAGAUUUGGCAAAGAAAAAGUAAAGUUAUAUGAUGAAAUAUAUUACUAAGGUAUAGGAUUUUAUUUUCCAGUGUGUAAUCUGUUAAAUUCACACACCUCAAAUGGGUUCGAGGCUUCUGGUGAUUGUUUCUUUGAAAUUUAAUAUGCUAUUUUCAGGAACAGCUGAGAUAUAAUGAUAAUAAAAGAGCAAUGAAAUCUUCGGUUUAAAUACUGGCUCUGCCAAACAUUUGCUAACUACAUGACCUCAUGUCUUCUUUCUAAGGGUUUACUUCUCCAGCAGUCAAAUAGAGUAGUGAUAUGAAACUGAUCAGAUAUGAAACUGAUCAUCUUAUUGAAGGGUUGAAAUAAUAUAUAUAUAUAUUUAUACAUAUAUGUGUAUAUAUUUAUACAUACACACACACUCCAAUAUCCAACCCAGAACCUAGUAUGCCAGUUUUCUUCCUUCUUCCUUCCUUCUUUCCUUCCAGGACCAAUUUAUAUGGGGACUCUAUCACACUUUUAAGCUUCAUCUUUUUUUGUUUGUGGUGAGUCUUUAAGUGUAAAAUAUUGUCUUCAAAAGGAACAGCAAUACCAUGAAUUAGCCAGUUACAGAUAACUCUUACUGCAAGAUUGGAUUUUUUUUUUUUAGAUUUAUUCAUUUAUUUGAAAGGCAGAGUUACAGAGAAGCAGAGGCAGGGGCAGAGAAAGAGAGAGAAAGAGGUCUUCCAUCUGCUGGUUUACUCCCCAGAUGGCCACAACAGCUGGAGCUACACUGAUCUGAAGCCAGGAGCCAGGAGCUUCUUCUGGUUUCCCACGUGGGUGCAGGGGCCCAAGGAAUUGGACUAUCUUCUACUGCUUUCCCAGGCCAUAGCAGAGAGUUGGAUUGGAAGUGGAGCAUCCAGGACUCGAACUGGCACCCAUAUGGGGUGCUGGCACUGCAGGCGGUGGCUUUACCCGCCAUGCCACAGUGCCAGCCCCAAGAUUGGGCGUGAAUAGCAGAGAGAGUGCAUAUGUAACUCAAAGUCAAUGAGUUUGGAAACAUCUUUUAUUUAAAGGUAACAAUUAGGAAAGCAAAGGGAAGGAGAUCAAAGAACCACACAAGGCCUUCAGAAACCAAGCUGAACCUCUGAUCUUAGCAGCCAUUUGCUGGUAAGAAUUUCAGUAGAUAUUUGAGUGGCUACAAUAUGUAAUAUGUUGUAUAAGCAUUGAGGCUACAAGGAGAGCAAAAUAGCAAAAAAUAACUACUCUAUCCUUGUUCCCUUAGAAUUUUUAUAGUGAUUGCUUCAUGUCCCAAUUCCAAUUGUUGAUUGCUGCCUGGAGUGCUAGUUUAAAAUGGUUUCUGAAACUUAGUUGAAUUCAUUGGGAAGAAUGCUAGGAUCCGUUAAUAUUAUUUGCUUGAGCAAAAGACAAAAAUAGUGGUAAUAUAAGAUUUGUUAGUCCUCUGGUACAAUGUUUUUCCAAAUGUAGGUAUGACUCAUUGAUACAUCAUUAAAUCAGUUUUGUGAGUCACCAUCAGCAUUAUUUAAGAAAUGAAAUAGUGAAAUAUUAGAGUGCAUUGACAUAGUAACAGUAAAAGUAUUGCUUUGUAAAAACUUUUAGUUAUGUAUUAUUGGGUACUAGGUGAGUAUGCUGACCUCAUAAACUCCCACUCUUUUCUUUCUAUGUUCAUACUUUCUUUACUUCUUCCAUUAUUUUUUUUUAAAUUACAGGACACAUUUGAUAGUUUGGGCCCUAUUAAUCAAAACUGUAGAAUGAUCAUUCAUUCUAGUAGUCACUCUGCAAUACAUGAUAUGUUUAGCCUUUGACCAUACUUACAUUAGAGUUUUCAUGAUUUGGUUAGGCGGUUAAUUGUCUUAUUUAUAGUGAUUUCUGGUGGGAGGCAAAAUAACCAAGUAUUUAAAAGCCUAGGCACUAAAGUGAUUCUUGCUUUUCAGUAGACUAUGCCACUUUAUGGAUGUGUGGCCAUUUAAAAUGUUGACUUUGUGAUCAUCAAAACUUGUAUUUGUGUGCACUCACACAUGUGAAUGCACACACACACAGGGAACACCUUGUUUCAGAAUUUCUCAGUUAUGUAUUUAGGACAACACAGAUAUAUGCACUUCUGUGCAUGGUCAAAUCAUUAUGUCGGCCGGCGCCGUGGCUCACUAGGCUAAUCCUCCGCCUAGCGGCGCCGGCACACCGGGUUCUAGUCCCGGUCGGGGCGCCAGAUUCUGUCCCGGUUGCCCCUCUUCCAGGCCAGCUCUCUGCUGUGGCCAGGGAGUGCAGUGGAGGAUGGCCCAGGUGCUUGGGCCCUGCACCCCAUGGGAGACCAGGAAAAGCACCUGGCUCCUGGCUCCUGCCAUCGGAUCAGCGCGGUGCGCCGGCUGCAGCGCGCUGGCUGCGGUGGCCAUUGGAGGGUGAACCAACGGCAAAGGAAGACCUUUCUCUCUGUCUCUCUCUCUCACUGUCCACUCUGGCUGUCAAAAAAAAAAAAUCAUUAUGUCACAUGGCAAGAAUUUGUAGAAAUAGCAUUAGAGAUAACCACAGAAAAUAAAAAUGCUUUUGUAUUUCACAUAUGAAAUAUACACACACCAUUUUCCACUUGACAAAGCGUCUGUUGGUCCUAUUGAAUUCCAAAAGUGUAGAGAGAAAAGGAUAGAAGUGAUUGUGGUAGAGGAGAAUAUUUGGAAACAUCAGGAAAGAAGAUUGGGAAUAAGAGAGUAAGAAGCAAGGUUAUAAAGAAAGGCCACAUGUUAUCUGUUUCAUUUCUGGUUCCAAGUGCAAAGUGGUCACUUAAAAAAAAAAAAACAAAAACAAACAAACAACAAAAAAACCCAGGGGCCUGGCAUUGUCUGUCAUGUAUUGGUUUAAGCCACUGCUUGAGCACCAGUUCGAGUCCUGGCUGCUCCACUUCCAAUCCAGCUUCCUGCUAAUGAGCCUGGGAAAGCAACAGAAGGUUGCCUAAGUCCUUAGGCCCUUGCACCCAUGUAGGAGACCCAGAAGGGGCUGUGCCAGGCUGUUGCAGUCAUCUGGGAAGUGAACCAAUGGAUGGAAGAUAUCCCCUCUCUCUCUCUCUCUCUCUCUCUCUCUCUAACUCUGCUUUUCAAAUAAAUAAAAUCUUUUUUAAAAAGUUAAACAGUAGUUCAUAAUUAGGGAAACCCUGCUGCAUGGCUUCUGUGACUGUUCCUAGAAUAAGAACUAGGUAAAUCUAAGUAUGCUUUUAAGAAAUUAUCGUAACUACCUUCAGUUUGGAGCAAGAAAGAAUUUGAUUUGAUUUUGGUCCUGUUACUUCUUAGCUCUGUGGCCUUCAGCAAUUCACUUCACUUCUUGUUUCCUUAAUUCCAUCACAUCUGCAAUGGCUUCUCUCAGAUGUAAAACGUAGUCACACAUUUUAUAGGUUGAUUGCCAAUAUUAACUGAAAGCUUAUAUGUACAAUAACUGCCACAUGGUGAGUGGCCAAGAAAUGCUUUCCACAACCCUGUGUCUUAUUUGAAAAAGUCAGAUUUGGAGUAUAUUUUUAAAAUGUAAGCAACUUCUAUGUAAGCACAUAUGGAGAUAUUAUGGACAAGAUCAAUAAGAACAUUAAGUAAAACUUUCCAAAAGGACCUUCACCUGCAAAGGAGUUGUCACACCCUGCCUGUGUACUUAUGGCUACCUGCUUUCCUUGUUGCAGAGAACAGAGGAAAAGGAGCUCACCAAGGCCAUCCCUUCCACUGCCUGGCUUAACUUUCUACUGCAUGGCAAAUUACACGCCAGAUGAGCAGUGGUGCAUCAUGCACAUUUAAUGUAGAUUUGGUAUUUCUUGUAGGUUAAGAAAUUAAGGUUUUACAAAAGACCUUUUUUUGCUUCUUUGAUAGGUUAAAAGAGACAAUUAGACUAUUCAGCCUAGUCUAAUGAAGAUUCCAUCCAAACUUUCACAUCCUAAGAGUCUGAUCCCUUCUGCAAUUAUGUUGUGAUAUCUAUAGCAUCCCUGUUAGCCCUUCUUCUAAUGUGUUAUCCUUAAAGCCUUUUUAGUUUCUGGUUAAUUGAGUUGGUAACUAUACUUACGAUUACAACAUUAGCAAAUAGAGCUGUUCAGUCCCUGACUGUUUCAGUCCCUACCUCCUAAAAUGGGUAGCUGUAGGAAAAGAGCCUUAGUCUGUUUUCCCCAAGAAUUGCUGAAAACAGAACUUCUUCAAGAAAUAAUCCACACAGUGCCAAGUGACAAGCCACACUUGCAUAUGCAUACAAGUGAUGAUAUCUUUGUCCAAAUAGGUACCUGUUAUGGCAUGUACAUUAAAAUUCUUCCAGAGACAGGAGCUUUGGGGAGUGAGCACUUUAAAAUAGCACCUCUUUAUUUGGUUACUGGGAAGGAUCAACCAAGAGUUCCCCCUUGCUUGCCCAAGUGAAAUAUGCCACAUCAUGAUUUCUCUGCUAUUCCAAGAGUUUGCUUCCCUCUAUGAAUAACUUGAUCGUAUAUUUUCUUUUCUGCUCCUCUGUAGAUUGGCAUUGUCUUCAGCUUUCCUGGAAUUUUAAAUGAUAAUUUUCUUGGGGCAAGUAUUGUUGCAGAAUAGGUUAAGCUGCUGUCUGGGAUAUCUGCAUCCCAAAUUGGUAUGCCAGCUUGAGUCUCUGCUCCUCUACUUCUGAUCCAGCUUCCUGCCCAAGUUCUUGAAUCCUCACCACCCAUGUGGGACACUGGAUGGAGUUCUGGGCUUCUGGCUUCCGCCUGCUCCAGUCUUUUCUGUUGUGACCCAGCAGAUGAAAGAUCUUGUCUCUCACCAUCUCUUUUAUUCUGCCCUUCAAAUAAAUGUGAAUCUUAGAAACAGUUGUUUUUCCUGCUUGGUUAUUUAAGACUGUAAGAGAUGGGAAUGCUAACUUUAUGAAAUAGUUUUUAAUUGCCACCUUGCAUAUUGUAGAACGUUUGAUCACCACAGUUAAAAUUCUGGGAGCUGCUGAACAAGGGAUUGUCCCAGUAAUGCCAAAGACAGCUGUUUUAUCACCUUCCUAAACUUGGGACUAUUACAAAUAUGCAGUGUUUUGAAUGCAGAAAAGGCACUUGAUAAAAUUCCACAUUCCUUCAUGAUUAAAAACUGAACAAAUUAGAUAUAGAAGGAAUGUACUUCAACAUAAUAAAAGCCACUUAGAACAAUCCGGAGCUAAUAUAUUACUGAAUGGAGGAAAAACUGAAGAUGUUCUCCAUAGACUAUUACAAAACAAGGAUGCCCACUUUCACUAAGUUAUUGAAAUUUAUGAAUUAGUUUAACUUUAUCUUUUAAGAAUUACCUAUUCAGAAGCAUGAUCUUUAGUACAUAUUAUAUGAAAGUUUUACAUCUUUACUCACAACAUACUCCAAUUAUGAGUCCUAAAGGAGUAAAUGCUUUUUAAAUUAUAUUCCCCUAGCCAGCUCUGUUCUACUGUUCUGCUAAUAUUGUGUCAGAUUAUUAUAAGCAAUGUGCUUCUCUUGAAAUCUUUGAACACUUGAUUAUAACUUUGGGAAAUCCCUGAAGAUUCAGAUAAAUGCUAAAUAAUUAAUAAUAUGAAAAACCAAAAUUAUCUUAAAAGAGAGCCACCAAAAAAUUUAAAAAUGGUUUUAUUUAUUUAAAAGCUGUUAGCCAUCUCUUAACAAUCUUUCAAAAAAAUUGACACUCAUUAUCAAAAUGAUGGAAAAUUUGAACAAUUUUAUUUCUGCUUUUUAACAGCGGGCAUUUUAUGCUAAUCAACUUGCUAAGUUGGAAGACUGUUAGGGGUUUAACAGAUUGAAUGUCACUUGCUUCAGAAGACAGCCCCCAGUUGAUUUUCUAGAGACAAAAUUUUCUGAUGUACUGUUGUGUCAUCAAUGCUUCUUACUUCUACAAUUGUCCCCUGGACCCCAUAUAUAAGGGUACUUCCAAAAGUUAAUGGAAAAUGGAAUUUAAAUAUGUUUAUCUUGAAAAAAUUUUGAAAUCUCUGCAUACUCACAUAAACACUGUAUAUUCACUUGAUAAAUGUAAAACACUGUGCUGUCUGGAAGUCCACACAAUACGAAGGCUUCUUAGCAUGCAAAGAUACAGGGGAUCUAAUCUCAGCUUUACCACAGUUUAUAAUUUUCUGUAAGAAAAUCACUAGGUUCCUCUAGAUGCUUACUUAGAUUCUCACUACUGGAUUCACAAGGAGUUUGUCUUUUUGGAGAUCGUUGUUUCAAGGCCUUUUACCGGUGCAGUGCGACAUCCAUAGCAGCAUUUGGGGGGUGAACCAACAGAAGGAAGACCUUUCUGUCUGUCUGUCUGUCUCACUGUCUAACUCUGCCUGUCAAAAAAAAAUUUAAAAAUUAAAAAAGAAAACAACAGGAAUUAUAGUUGAUCAAAUUUCCAUUGUCAGGUUUCUGAUUAUUUGGUACAUAGAGUAAAUGGACUGCUUUUCAGUAUCUGCUUAUUUGAGGGUAACACAGUGAUGAAGCUGAAUAGGGAAUCUGUGUGGAGGAUAUAGUCCAUCUCUCCUGGUUUUGUAGUUAGGGGAAAUGUCACAAUCACAAGGCUUUGAGAUUCAGAAUUGGGAUUUCAAAAUCAAAGGGAUACAAAUGGGGAAGGAAGAAGUCAAACUGUACCUAUUUGCAGACAAUAUGAUUCUUUCUUUAGGGGAUCCAAAGAACUCCACUAAGAGACUAUUGGGACCUAUCCCUACUUUUGAAUGCAAUGUUUCCUUCACACUCAGUUCAGUGUUCUUACAUGAAUUGUGCUUAUGGCAUACAGUCGUGCAGGGCAAGAUGUAUGAAAAUUGAUUCUCUCUCUCUCUCUCUCUGUCUUGGCUUUGCAUUUCCUUGAAUGAAAAUACAGACUAUAUUCUUAGAUGUUCACUACUUCCUGACUUUGGGGAAAAUGGAAGGAUGGAUUUAGAAAACAUAAAGGUCACAGAAAUUACAGAAUGGCAGCUUCCUGUGAUAUUUUUAGUUUUUAAAAUAAUUAUUACUGUUGACACAUCUUACCUUCAAAGUGCUUGGAGAGUAUUAAUUAACUUUUUAAACUGUAAAGGAAUUCAUGUCAGUUCCCUCUUUCAUAGUGAAUCUAUUAAAGCAGGUAGUAUAAGAUUGACCUAUAACUGAGUUAUAGUAAAAUUGUUUAAAGAUUUUUAAUAGGAUAGCUGAGCUUCAAGGAACAAAGAUCUAAGUGGAGUAAAUAAUGUCCAUCUUAGGAGGUAAUUGAAUUCAUGCUGAAAAAAAAGCUGAGUUUAUUGUCUUGGCAAAUAAAUUCAUAGGCAAAUAAAACCCCUCAAUGGUAUGAGAAUUAGACUGGGUUUAAUUUGAUUUUCCCUGUAUUCAGGAAGUAUAGUGAUGCCUGAUGUCUAGAUUAAGCAUUUUAUAGAUUUUUUUUUUUUGACAGGCAGAGUGGACAGUGAGAGAGACAGAGAGAAAGGUCUUCCUUUACCAUUGGUUCACCCUCCAAUGGCCGCUGCGGCCGGCGCACCACGCUGAUCCGAAGCCAGGAGUCAGGUGCUUCUCCUGGUCUACUGUGCGGCUGCAGGGCCCAAGGACCUGGACCAUCCUCCACUGCCUUCCCGGGCCACAGCAGAAAGGUGGCCUGGAAGAGGGGCAACCGGGACAGAAUCCGGCGCCCCGACCGGGACUAGAACCUGGUGUGCCGGUGUCACAAGGUGGAGGAUUAGCCUAUUGAGCCGCGACACCAGCCAACAUUUUAUAGAUUUUAAUCCAUGUAGCAUAUUAGUAAAGAAUCUCUUUUUUCAUACUUUAGAAUUAGUAAAAAAAUGACAUCUAAAAUUAACCCAUUCAAAUAAAAUCUCAUGGCCUAAUGUGGAUACAUAUUUUUGAAACAAUGAAUAUUUGUAUUCAUUAAAAUUUCAGAACAUCCUAUAAUUUAAACAUAAUGUAAUCCUUAUACUGAACUUCAAAAAGAUUUGUUUUCAUUGAAGGUUUUAUUUCUACAGUGAUUAUUCCAAUAUGGUAUACAUUAUUUCUUGUUUAAUUACUCUGCAAGCUACUCCCAUUUAUGCCAUAUCCUAUGCUCACCUGCCCCUUAAACUCACACACACACACACACACACACACUAUGGGCAAGUAUCAGCAGUGAGUUAAUAUUUAACUCUUAUGGCAAUGAGGAAGUGCUCUGGUAGAUAAAUCCAAGACCCUGGACACUAACAAUCCUUCUUAAGCCUUUCCACAUAAUGAGGGCAACUGAUAGAAUACAAUAAAAAGAAACAUCUUGCAAUAUAUAUAUAUAUAUAUAUAUAUAAUUGUUAUAUUAUUGCAAUAUAUAUAUGUGUAUAUAUGUAUAAUAUAUAUAUAUGUGACUGUAAUUCUAGGUAUGUCCAGGAUAGUCCAUGGUUAUCCAAGCCUUAGUUGGCUCAUUCACAAUAUGGUCUCAGUUAAAAAGAAAACAAAAACUAGCCCAAUCUAUGUCACAUAGUGUGUUUUCUAUAAAUGCAUAUUCCCUGUGGUCAAAAUCAAGAAUCCUAAAAGUUUCUGUUUUAGGAGAAAGAGAACAGACAUAAUUCUGUUUAGUUCCUGGCUAUUUCAUGCCUGAGCACUUUUGCAUGGCAUCAUGGUACAUCCUGCCCUACCUGGCUUUUCAACUUGGUUAGUUUUUAGAAUCCUGUUCUGUUAUCAGUUUCUCUCGGAAGCUCUCUAGGACCGUCUUUUAGAGGAAAUUCUUCCGUCCUUUUCCUGUAUGUCUCUAGAUAAUUCUGUGUUUGUAUCUGAGUGAUGCAUUAUUUUUUAUCUGUCCACCUUCCCUACUUGGUCAUCAGCUCCUCAAUGCACCAGAUUCAUCUCUGUUCUCUCUUCCCUGGUAUGUAAAGGUUAAGAAAUAAGUCUUUGUUGAGGUGAAAUGAAAUGAAAAUCACCAAAAAAUCUUUAAGAUUCAAUUUAAAAUGCAACGUAGCAGUUUCUUUCUUUCUUUUUUAAAUUACUGAGCUUCAUUUUUCAAAAAGUUUGUUAAAAUCUCAUUUUUCUAUAAAAAGUAAAUAACUUAAUUGCAUAAAUUUUGGAAAGCCUAACUGCAAAGAAAUUAAAGAUGUUCAUAAGUGUUAUUCCACUACCCAGAGAGAAACAUUGUCAACUUUUUGAUAUAUUUCCCCAAUCUUUUUACUUAAACAUAUAAAUAAGUAUAUACAUAUUUAUUUAAACCACAUUGGGAUUUUCUAGCCUAUGCUAUUUAGUAACUGCUUUGCUUUUUGCCAAAUAGUUUGUAAUUAUUUUUAAAUAUCAGUAAAUAUUCAUCUAAAACAUUUUAAUACUUCAUUGCAUUUCAUCUCAUGGACUUACUAUGGUUUGUUAUUGAAAAUAGAAGUUUUUUUUUCAGUCUGUUUGUUGUUAUAAAUCAUUCUGUGUGAACUUCAUGUGUGCAUGAUUGAAUAAUAUUCAACCAGUUUAGCUAGACCAGUGGUUAAAAUAUUGAACUAUUUCCAUACUGAUUGGAAAAUAGUCCCAGCCCAGCAAUUCAUGCGUCUCUCCCCUGUACCUCUCCUUCUGAAUUCCUGAUGAUUUAGUAGCUAAGGGGUUAGUGCAUGGCACAGGAGUAGAUGGCACAGGUGGCACCCAUUCCAACUAGAACUGAUCAUAAUAUAUGUCUAAAAUAGUUAACACUCCUGAAACUUUGCAUGAAUCUCUCAUUAUAUCUUUGAAGACCUAGAAGUGAAAAUCUUUCAUUAGUAAAUAUGUGUCAGGAGCCUGUGAGGAAACAGCUCAUUCAAGUUUGGAUAAAUCAUGGAGAGUUCAAUAAAGGAACAAAUUCAAAUAGGGAAUGGCAGAAUGUAAGGAACUCACAGAGCUGGUAAGAGCAGGGACAGUUUCUACCCCAGUGCCUAAAUGUGAGAGAAGGGAGUGGUUACAGGACCCUUCAAGGAGAGAAUCUUUUGUGAGAAGCCCUGUGACUUUCAGUAGAGGGUGGCAGACAAGCUGGCAGCCCCGCAGGGAGGAAGCCUAGGAAAUGGAUAUCUCAGCUCCCUUUGUUGCCUCCCAUGUUCCAUCAGGGCUCCUUGCUACCUCUAACAGGAAAUCAGAGCUUGGGGGACACUAUUUAUAUAGUGCCUAUAGGCCAGUUUUUCAGGAUGAAGAGUUAAUUUGGAAAAGAGCCAGUGCACAUUUGGUCUCUAUUCCAUAAUAAGCAUUUGCCUCCAGAAAAAUGUUUUAGAACCUUAAAUAUAGGUUAUGAUCUGGAUGUGAGUUGACUGUAUUUUCUUUACAUUGAUUAUCAAUAUUGACUCAUAAAGGAAUGCAAUCUGGUGCAGUGUUGGGCAGAAAAAAAUGACAGGGCUAUAGAGUGCCUAAGCAAUGCAGAGAUAGAAAACCACUGAGGAUGUGUGAGCACCUUGAAGAAACACAUACUCCCCACAGAGUUCAGUAUUACAAAGAGUGGGUGUUAUUAACAGCAGAGAAUAAGCAUCCUCAUGAUCAUCUAAAUUCUUUUCAACAUAGGACCGGUGGGCCAAUUCCUGAUAUUCAUGGUAUGUUUUAAAAUUUUCCCAGAGCAGACCUUUAAGAAUAUAUCCCCUUAUUCAAACUUAUUUUUAGCCCCAGGAACCUUUCAUGAACACUACUGAAGUUAGGAAUGGUGUACCUUCCAUUUUUCCUUCUCUAGUUCUGUCCCUGGGGACUUGGAUGAUUUGCUUAAAAUCACACAGCUGGCUGGUUAUAAAAUCAUACCCAAGACUUGACAUCUCCUAACUGUUGAUUCCACCUCUUUUAUCUAUAAAGAUAGAGCCUUCUCCAGUAGUUAUUGAUGUAUCAUCGGAGUCUUGCCCUUAUUCUUCCUGCACUAAACUAGUUAUCAUUGACAAGUACACCAGGGUGUAACCAUACAUCUCUCUCUGAGCCUUAUAUCUGUGGUUCUGUCUUCUGGCUACACAUUAUAAUCAUGUUGGAGUACCUUUAUAAAUAUACCAGUGCUCAUGUCCUGUCUCUAAGAGAUUGUGAUUUGCUCACAGUUCUGGGGUGAGAUAUAGGCAGGGGAGUUCUGGCAUUAUAGUUUUUUUGUUUGUUUUGUUUUGUUUUAAGAUUUCAUUUAUUUAUUUAAGAGGUAGAGGUACAGACAAAGAGAAGAAGAGAGAGGGAGAGGUCUUCCAUCUCCUGGUUCACUCCCUAAAGACUGCAAUGGCCAGAGCUGGGCCAAUCAGGAGCCAGGAGCUUCUUCCAGGUCUCCCAUGCAGGUGCAGGGGCCCAAACACUUGGGCCAUCCUCUGUUCCUUUCCCAGGCAUAUUAGCAGAGAGCUGGAUUGGAAGAGGAGCAGCGGGACAUGAACCAAUGCCCAUAUGAGAUGCCAGUGCCACAGGUGGAGGCUUAGCCUACUAUGCCACAACGCCUAUCCCAAAGCAACAUAGUUUUUAAAAGCUCAAAGGAUUCUAGUGAACAGCAAGCGCUGAGAACCUCUGUUCCAUUGGAGAACCAGGAAGCACUACAACUCCCAGAAAGGGGGGAGGUUUAUUUAGGUCCAACCCCAGGCUGUAGCUGUAUUCUCAGCAGUUCCAUCUUAUCCACCUCAUCAGUGAUUGUGGAAUUUUGGGGAAAUGGAAAAUAAGCCUUUCUUCUGGAAUAAGAUUGGAGUCUAAUUUUGUGACAUAUAUAUUGGAUCUAAUUUGCUCAUAAUUGUGUUAUUUUUAAGAAAUAUUUCGGGCCGGCGCUGCGGCUCACUAGGCUAAUCCUCCGCCUAGCGGCGCUGGCACACCAGGUUCUAGUCCCGGUCGGGGCGCCGGAUUCUGUCCCGGUUGCCCCUCUUCUAGGCCAGCUCUCUGCUGUGGCCAGGGAGUGCAGUGGAGGAUGGCCCAGGUGCUUGGGCCCUGCACCCCAUGGGAGACCAGGAAAAGCACCUGGCUCCUGGCUCCUGCCAUCGGAUCAGUGCGGUGCGCCGGCCGCAGCGCGCCCGCCACAGCGCGCUGGCCGCGGCGGCCAUUGGAGGGUGAACCAACGGCAAAGGAAGACCUUUCUCUCUGUCUCUCUCUCUCACUGUCCACUCUGCCUGUCAAAAAAAAAAAAAAAAAUAUUUCAAGUCAGAGGUAAAUUGAGUAAUAAAAACUCUAGUGAAAUAAAAACAACAGCCUUUGUAUACACAAUAAAUGCCAAGGCUGAGAAUGAACUUCUAAGAUCAAUCCCAUUUACAAUAGCUACAAAAAAAUCCCAAAUACAUUGGAAUAAAAUUUAACAAAAUAUGUCAAAGAUCUCUACGAUGAGAAUUGCAAAACCUUAAAGAAAUAGAAGAAGAUACAAGAAAAGUGAAAAAACCUUCCAUGUUUAUGGAUUGGAAGAAUCAAUAUCAUCAAAAUGUCUGUUCUUCUGAAAGCAAUUUACAGACUCAAUGCGAUACCAAUCAAAAUGCCAAAGACAUUCUUCUCAGAUAUAGAAAUAAUGAGGCUGAAAUUUGUAUGGAAACACAGGAGACCUUGAAGAGCUAAAGCAAUCUUACACAACAAAAACAAAGCUGGAGGUAUCACAAUACCAGAUUUCAAGACAUACUACAAGGAAGUUAUAAUCAAAACAGCCUGGUACUGGUACAAAAACAGAUGGAUAGACCAAUGGAACAGAAUAGAAAUGCCAGAAAUCAAUCCAAUUAUAUUUGACAAAGGAGCUAAAAUCAAUCCCUGGAGCAAGGCCAGUCUCUUCAACAAAUGGUGCUGGGAAAACUGGAUUUCCACAUGCAGAAGUAUGAAACAAGACCCCUACCUUACACCUUACACAAAAACCCACUCAGCAUGGAUUAAAGAUCUAAAUCUUUGACCCGACACCAUCAAAUUAUUAGAGAACAUCAGGGAAACCCUCCAAGACAUUGGCACAGGCAAAGAGUUCUUUGAAAAAAAAACUCCAGAGGCACAGGCAAUCAAAGCCAAAAUUAACAAAUGGGAUUGAGAAGUUUCUGUACUGUAAAAGAAACACUCAGGAAAGUGAAGAGGCGACUGACAGAAUGGGAAAAAUUAUUUGCAAACUAUGCAACUGAUAAAGGAUUAAUAACCAGAAUCUACAAAGAGAUCAAGAAACUCCACAACAACAAAACAAAAAACCCAGUUAAGAGAUGGGCAAAGGACUUAAAUGGACAUUUUUCAAAGGAGGAAAUCCAAAUGGCCAACAGACACAUGAAAAAAUGUUCACGAUCACUAGCUGUCAGGGAAAUGCAAAUCAAUACCACAAUGAGGUUUCACAUCACCUUGGUUAAAAUGGCUUUCAUAUAGCAAUCAACAAACAACAAAUGCUGGCAAGGAUGUGGGGAAAAGGUACCCUAAUCCAUUGUUGGUGGGAAUGUAAACUGGUAAAGCCACUAUGGAAGACAGUAUGGAGAUACCUCAGAAAUCUGAAUAUAGACCUACCACAUAACCCAGCCAUCCUACUCCUGAGAAUUUACCCAAGGGAAAUGAAAUCAGCAAAUAAAAGAGGUAUCUGCAUUCCCAUGUUUAUUGCAGCUCAGUUCACAAAAGCUAAGACAUGGAGUCUACCUAAAUGUCAACUAAAGACUGGAUAAAGAAAUUAUGGGAUAUAUACACUAUGGAAAACUACACAGUAGAAAAAAAUGAAAUCCAGUCACUUGCAACAUGAAAUGGAAAACACCAUACUUAGUGAAAUAAGCCAGUCUCAAAGGGACAAGUACCAUAUGUUCUCCCUGAUCUCUGAGAACCAACGGAGCACUUAAAAGAAAAUCUGUAGAAGUAAAAUUGACACUUCAAGAGGGGAUGACUUGAGUGGCCCUUAUCGUGACUCACUGUUGAGGAAUAAUUUUUGUUUUCUUUUUCUUUUUUUUCCUUCAUACUAUUUGUUGAAUUCUUUACUUGACAUAGAGUUAAUCAUAUGUGUAUAAAGUCAAUUGAGGAUGGAUCUCAUUAAAAAAUCAGAGUGGGAAUAAGAGAGGGAGGAGGAAGUUUGUAACUGUAAAACUAUAUGGUUCUGCAUACAUCCCUACAGACUUACUUCUGAGGGUAUAGUUUAAAAACUUGCCAUGGAACUCCAAAUCCCAGUAAGCUUGGUGAUAAAAAUGCCAUCUUAAGUGUUAAGGUAAUCAUAUUAAGUGUUAAAGUGAACAUGUAUAUAGGAUCAAGUGUCUGGCAAUAUUAAUAGAUAGCAUUAAAAGGGAGAGAAUGUUCCAACAUAAGAAGCAGUCCACAGAGCAGACUCAUAGAAUGACAAUUCCUUUAAGUAACACUCUGACCUUAGAAUAAGCCCUUAAAGCAUCCUAGUCUGGCUGGAAAGCCCAUGAGAGCAUUCCAGGCAUGGAAAGCCAAGAAAUCAUGGCAAAAAAAUGUUCCACAUGAAGGAUCUCUGUGAGUGAGACCCCAGAGGAAAGAAGUGGCCAUCAAAGAAGGAUGUUCUUUUCUCUUAAGGGAGGAGAGAACUUCCACUUUUCUUAUAGCCUUGUCUAAGUAAUGACUGAUUUUGUGGAUUCAAAAGCCUAGAUAGCCUAGAUAGCUCAUGUCAAGAGGUGAUCACUGAUGUCAUACAUGAGUGUUAAUUGUUAAAUUAACAACAGGAGUCACUGCACUAACUUCCCAUGCAGGACCUCUGUUUUUAAUGAGUUGUAUUAUGAGAGUUAACUGUAAAACUUGUUCUCAUUUUUUGUGUGUGUCUUUGUGUGCAAAUUGUUGAAAUAUUUACUUAGUAUAGUUAGUCUUCUGUGUACAAAGUUAAUUGAAAAUGAAUCUUAAUGGAGAAUGGGACUGGGAAUGGGAGAGGGAGGAGGGGGAUAGAAGUUUGGGUGUGAGGGCAGGGACAGUUUGAAGAAUAACUAUAUUCCUAAAGUUGUAGUUACAAAAUUUGUAUUCAUUAAAUAUUUCUUUGGAAAAAAAUAAACUCUAUUACAAAGACAAAUAUCUGCUUAUAAUGUGUGCUUGAAGAUGUAAAGAGGUAUGUUUCCAAAGAUGUUAUCCCACCGUACACUUUAAGUAUAAAUUUGCUAUAUAUUUCUGCAUUUAUUUAAAAAUAAAUGUUAAUAUUUAAGUUAAUUUUAGUUAAUUUAAGUUAAUAUUAAUUGGGGAACAUAUACAAUUUAAUCAGGGGUAUUCAUAUUUCCAAUGUUUCUGUGAUGUCUCAGUAGAAUUAAAUGACAGUAAAUUUCAGUACUGUUACUAGGCAUAACAAGAGAAUAGUAUUUCUAAAAAUACAUGUUUCUUCCUUAUAAAAGUAAAUAUUGUAAAGAUUUUAUGUGAGACAUAGUUAUUAUAUGAAGACAUUUCUAAAAUGUAUGGCCUAGUGUUUCAAAUGGCUAAACAAUAAGUUGUAAAAUUUUUUUUGGUUUGCAUUUUCUUUUUACCAGCAUGCUCAUGAUACCUACAUAGUUCUUGGUUCUAUCCUGACCGUCCCAUUAUGUUUGAAAAGUGCCUUAUGUCAUAUUUGCUUCCUCUGAGUUCAUUCUGCUCUAUGUCUUUAUUUCAGUUCAUUGUUUUUACAGUAGUAGUUUCUUUGCAAUGUAAUAAGUAGAACAGUUUGUGUUUCCUUCUGGCAUCAAUCGAAGUUGAAGUCACCUUGCUGAAACAUUCUCCAUUCCUUUUAAAGUAUUUUUUGCUUGCUAAAAAUCUAGAAGAGAAAACUAUUAUAAAAUAACUAGGAAAACUUUUCCCCUAUUUCUGUCCUAAAAGAGUAAAUAUGCAUUUACUUAUUUUAGAUGCCGUGUGUUAAUUAAAUCCAUUAAUGGCUGUCAUCAGGAAAUGAAAUUGUUUUGAUUUUGUGCUUCUUGUGUAUUAGAGAGAACAUUCUUAGGCUGGCAUCAUAAUCAAAGAUAAUCUCUCUUCAUACAGGCAAAAACAAACAAUUUUAAUUAAGACUAUGUGAAUAGCUCUUUAAAUAAAUAAAAUAAAAAAUAAACAGAUUUGCAGUAAUGUACCUAGCUCUGUGAAAAAUAAAAAUGCCAAGGACAGGGGCUUCUUCAGCAUAUGGGUGAAUAAACACUUUUCCCUUGUGGUUGUAUCUGAUUACCGGAUGCUGGUGGGAGAAGUCACACAGAAGGCCAGUGGUGACAGUUUGAGUCUGAUACUGCCACAGUGGCCCAUGGGCAGCCCUGAUAGCACUCUACCAAGUCUCAGUACUGUUGGGACUUUGCUUCUCUUCACUCCAGUAAGGGGUGUAUCUUUGGUUCUCCAGAUUUAUUUUGGUUUCCUUGUCUCCUCUCUUCUUUAUCUUAAGUUUGAGAUUCUUAUGGCGACUUAUGCCUUAAGUGAUUUCUACACUUUAAGAAGUAUUUCCACAGCACUUUAACUUGUUUAGACAAAACAUCUGAAAACAUGAACACUUACUCUCAUUCUUAUUUAACAUGUAUUAAUAUUUUUCUUUCCUUGGUGAGUAUUAAGAUGAAAGAAUUUUAGCCCUGGAUAGGACUUUGGCAAUACAUUUAGUGAAUGAGUAGCAUAACUGGAGAAGGUACCAAGGAAAAACAUGCAUUAUUUUGUUUUUAAAUGAAGCAGAAUUCCUCUCAUGAACUAGAUUUGGGUUAUGAAGCAUCAAUGCUGCACAUUCUCCACAAAGAGACUAAAACGGGAAUGAUGAUGCUUGCCUGCAGGGCUUUGGGGAAGCUUGGAAAUAAUUCCAUAAUAACAUGUAUAAAGCCCAGCAUCCUGUCUGCAUAGAGCAGAAACAAAUGACAGCUGUUGUUGUUGGUAUCACUUCUGUUCUCUCCUACAGACUGUCUACCCCUCCCCUCCCAACCCUGGAUUCCUUGUAACCUGUUCACUCUGACCUUCACUUCCGUCUCUUUGAUGUGGGCAAGCCAUAUUCUUUCCCAAAAGCCCCUCUGGAAUCUAGCUCUUUGUGGAACCUUGGUAGUCUGUAGGUCUGAAAACUGCCUUAGUGGCUCAGGGCAUUCAGUUUAAAUUAGAACAAAAGCCUCUUCAAAACUAAACAGUGAUUGUGCCCCGUUUGCUGAUAUUCCCUUAUCCACAACACCAAAAUAACCUACAAGGGAAAAUUUCAAAAUAAACAAGUAAAAUCCUCCACCAAAUAUAACUCAGAAUUCCUUAGUCUGUUUCUUUGUUAGAGUAAGGCAUUUAUCCUAAUUUUUUUUUUUUUCUCAGUGUUUUUUAAUUUGCUGUUUGAAAGGCAGAGUCAAAGAAAGGUCCUUAUUUGUCCGCUCCCCAAAUGCCCACAACAGCUGGGACUGGGCCUCACCAGAGGCAGGAGCCUGGAAAUCAAUCCAAGUCUCCCACAUGGUCAUCAGGAUCCCAGUCACAUGAGCCAUCCUGCUACUUCCUAGAGUGUGCAACAACAGGGAGCUGAAUUUGGAAGCAGAGCUGGGACUCAAACUUUGGCACUCCAGUUUGGGAUGCUGGUAUCCCAAGCAGUGCUUUAACUGCUGUGUCAAAUAUUACUAUCACAAUUUUGUUAGUCUGUUUGGACUGUCAUAACCAAACAGCAUAGACUAGGUGGGUUGCACAUGGUUUAUUUUAUGUUUCAUAAUUCUGAAGUCUAGAAUCCAUAGCAAGUUUCCAGCUGAUCUGGUUUCUAGUAAGGGCUCUCUUUCUGGCUUGCAGAUGACCAACUUCUUGCUAUGCUUUUAUACAGCCUUUCCUCACUAUAUGUGUGUGUAAACAGAGAAAAAGGACUAGCUUUCUGGUGUCUCUUAUAAAGUCGCAAAUCCUGUUGGAUCAGGUCCACACCUUAGAUCUCAGUUUAACCUUAAUUAAUUCCAUAGAGGCACAACCUGCAAAUAUAGCCACACAAGAAGCUAGGGCUUUAACAUGAAUUCUUGGGGUAGGGGAAGACAAACAUUUAAUCUACAACACUAAUCAUUAUCCUUUAUUUGAUAACAUUUACUCAUUAUACAAAAGACUAGAAAAAGUGGAAAAAAACUGAUCGCAUGUUUGCAUUGAAGAUUUAUUAUUUGCUAGCUAUUGUGGUAAAGCAUACAUACAUUCUUUUCUUAUAUACAUUAUCUCAUUUGUUUCUCAUACAACCUUGUAAGGUAAGCAUUGUCUGUAUUAGAGAUAGAAAAACAAAGCUUAGAUAAUUUAAGUAAUUUGCUUUUUAUGCCGUUUUCAAGUACAUGUUAGGGUUGGGACAUAGUCUUCUGUCAUGCAGCCUAUAUCCUAAAUCACCAUAACAUUACUAUCAAAUUAUGGUGAUAAUUGCAUGAUGUGACCAAAACAAAUGAUGUAGCCAACUUCAUUGUGCACUGCAACAUCACUUGACCAGGAAGUGGAUACAGGCGGAAUUGGGGCCAUCAUUGUAAUCCAUCACAAUAUUCUUAUUAUACUUUGUACAUAACUUGAUCACAGGAUUUAGUAAAUUAUGUGGAAAUAUAUACUGUACUAAAGGUUUCACCUCAUCUCCAACUCCCACUUGGGAACCCACUGUGAGGUCCUGUCUUCAGCAGAGUUCCAGGUUUAUAAUAAAUGCCAAAUAAACAUUAACUGAAUGGAAUUAUUAAGUGGGAUGAUGACCUUGGGCUGUUUCUUUGUGAUAAUGAAACUUUCUCACCCUCAACUUAAUCAUUUAUAAGUAGGAGAUAAUAAUACUUACCACAGUCAUGUUUCUAGCUUUAAGUAGAGAAAAAUAUAUAUAUACUGUUUACUCAGAAAAAAUAGUUGCUUCUUUCCCCAUCCCCACAUUUUUUCUUUUUGCUGGAUUUAUAUGAAUUUUUAAAAAUAGGGAGUUGUUUAAUUUUAGUCAUUUUGGGCAAGUGGUGCUGGAGUCAUAGAUCUCCCUAUUAAAAUAUCUUCUAUAUUUUCUACUAAUUAAAAACUAAUUUUGUAUAAUAUUGAUCUAAAAACUUUAGGCCCCUUCAGAGACUUAAAAUUAACUACUUAUAGUUUAUCUUGAAUUCCUAUAAUGAUGGAUUUCCUCUCGCUCAUUCUAAUAAAGAACAUAUUCAAAAAAGGAAAGGGGAGUUUAGAAUGAGUAAAGGAGUAUAAUUUUGGGAAAUGGACUCUUUGAGGGAAGUCUAGGCUAAUAAAUAGCAUAGUGGGGGUGAGCAGGGGUGGGAUGUGUAUUGGACAGGCACAGGGAAGAGAGUAUGUGGUCAUCAAGCAGACAAGAUUGGGGCCUAGUGAGGCAGGCAGGGAACAAAAAUCUAACUCAUUUUGCCAGUUUUUCUUUAAGUAUAUUGUUCCAGCCAAGGGAUUAUUUCUAAUGUGUGAUAAAAAUUUGCAGUGUGUGUUUUUAAUAUUUCUAAAUUUAAAACAGUUAUAUCCAUUUUUGGUGUUUUUCUUCCAUAGAAAGAAAUUAUAUGAAAAUUAAAACUACAUAUGUGGGGCUGGCGCCGCAGCUCAAUAGGCUAAUCCUCCACCUUGCAGCACCGGCACACCAGGUUCUAGUCCCAGUCAGGGCGCCGGAUUCUGUCCCGGUUGCCCCUCUUCCAGUCCAGCUCUCUGUGUGGCCCGGGAGUGCAGUGGAGGAUGGCCCAAGUGCUUGGGCCCUGCACCCACAUGGGAGACCAGGAGAAACACCUGGCUCCUGGCUUUGGAUCAGCACCGUGCGCCGGCCGCAGUGGCGAUUGGAGGGUGAACCAACGGUAAAGGAAGACCUUUCUCUCUGUCUCUCUCUCUCACUGUCAACUCUGCCUGUCAAAAAACAAAAAACUACAUAUGUGUAUGUAAAAAUCCAUACAUAUACAUAUUCAUAUUCAGUCUUGCUAUUGUAAAGACACUUUGAAAAGCCUAAAUAUCAUGAAUGCCUUUUCUUUUCCUGAUUAGUCCUAUAAGUCAUCUAUUUUAUUCUAAAAAUAUCGAUUUUCCAGUAUUUCUCCUCAGUAACCUCAUGGUUGGGUGUUUAAACACAAAUGAAUUGAAAAUAUUUUACAGUAAUUAUUUUUCCCAUAUGGGAAAUUGUUGUUUAUGAAUAAGAAGUAACUGAGUGUGCAGUGUCUGGCAUUAAGGUGUGGGCUUCUCCAUAGGUUUUGUGCCUCUCCUUUGGCCAUGAGGUUGCCUUUGACAAUUUGUGAGAUGCUGUUUAUUCAUUUGAAUUUGCUUCUUUCUUUUUUACAAUACCCCCACCCCCAGUUGUAGUGCAGACGCACAUCUGGCUUCUAUCAGUUAGGGAGUAGCUUUAAGCACAUCCUGUUAAAUUGUCUGUUCCCAAAAGCAAUACCAACACAUUCAUUGAAUGUUAUUUUUUUUCCCCACAGUCAUGUUCUUGAUUGGACCACAAAUUUUUCCAUAAUUCUGUACUUGAAAAAUAGGAUAUUCUAGCUCUUUAUACAUAAUCAGCUCAUCCAACUCCAUCCUUAUAUAAAAACUUUUUUUUUCUAAAUAUGCACCAUUAGGAAAAUUGUAUUCUAGUUCUGAAAAGAUACACUGAGUAUUUGUGUUUUGGUUAACUGUGAAUUGUUCUCAUUCUUCAUGUCUGCAUACUAAUUGGAUACAACAGGGAAAUUAAAAAAGGACCCAAGUUUCAACAGUGAAAACUUUUUUAAUGGGACAGGGUAGUCUUCCUCUAUACUUUUAUACUACAAAUUGGAAAAUUAUUUGACCAUGUAAAAAAUUUCCUCCUGUUUUUGAAUAUGCAAAUAAAUAGGAAAAAGAAGUUAGGGCAUGAAUUAUUGUAUUACUCUGCCUUUUCCCUUUGAUUGAUCUUCAUAUAAAGCAGCCUAUAUGACUUCUCAGACAUCUGCUACAUCCAACUAGUAAAUCAGAAAAUGCUAGUAUUCAGUGGUCUUUACAAAGUGAAUCUGUAAUUUUCAUAUGAAAAAGCUAAAAAUGUCACAAGUAACUAUUUUUUUCAAAUAUGUAUCAUGUCAUUUUAAAAUAAUGCAAUCUGCAGCUACUUCACAAUUAAAAAAUAGUAGGUAUUAGGAAUAUUGAAAAGACAGAGUGGGCAUUUGGCAGCAGUUAAGACACUCUGAGUUUGAUUCCUGGCUACUCCACUCCUGAUUCUGCCUUUCUGCUGUUGUUCACCCUGGGAAAUAGCAAGUGAUGGCUCAAGUACUUGGAUUCCUGUUACACACAUGAAAGAUUCAGAUUGAAUUCUGUCACCUAGCGUUGGCCUGGACCAGCCCUGAAUGUUCUUGGCAUUUAGGGAGUGAACCAGUGGAUAAGAGAUCUGUGUUUGUCUUUCUGCCUUUCAAAUAAAUAAAAUAGAUCAGUAAACAAGGUUUUAAAAAAAGGAAUUUUUUGGAGAAGUUUACUCAGCUAAGUCUUCUUGAUUUAACGAUAUAUUUCAUUACCUAAUCUGUCUUUUAUUUGCCAUUGAUUUUAAUCCAUUGCUCUGUGCUUGAUAAGCCAAAAACACCUAAAUAUCUUCAGUUAAUAGAUCAUGCUAUCAAAUUGAAUCGUAUUCUAGAAAGUUAAUUAUUACCUUAUCUACCAGUUUCCUAGCUUCAGGACAAGAUUUACAGGGUCUUGUGCAAUUGAAAAUUCAUAACUACCUGCACCAUCACAGGAAGUACACAUUAUGUCCUUCACGUUUAUAAGUCAGAGACUGUGUAUGUAUCUAGUACCUGCCUUAGGAAACACAGAACUUUGCUUUCUAGAGUCAUUCAAGUUAGUAUGUUUCUUCUUUACCUGUACCAUGGUAGCACUACAUAAAUAAAUGUUUCACUUUUGUAGGUCUAUCUUGUGCUCGUUUAUUGCUUGUAAAUAAUUUUUAUUAGUUUUUAAAUAGAAACAUGAAAGAAGGAAGACAAAAAUAUACUAAAAUCCUACUCCAUUGUUUUAAAAAUAAUCCAAAGCUUUUAAAAUAAUCACUCAUGUAUCUUUCUUAUGCCUUAAUCUUUUACAAGUAUCACAAAAUACUCUAUUAUUUUACCAUACCAUUAUUUAUUUAGCAAGUAUCAAUCAUAUAGGCAGUGAGCUAAUUACACACUAAAAGGUGACAGCUUGGUAUUGUUUAAGUACAUAUUAGUGGCAGAAAUUGGACAAGUAGAAUUAUUAGAGUAAAAACUGUACUGAGAGUCACUAGGAUGUGCUGUGUACUCUAAAUAUGACUUAAUAACCUGCAGUUAACUGUCAACGACUUUGGACUUCAUUGAUUUAAAAUUUUUGUCGGGAUUUCCCCCUGCAGUUCACAAGAAGUCAGUAAACAUUCUCAGAGUUCAUCUUGGAUCAAAGACCAUUGAAGGUGCGGGGGACAAGAAACCAGCUGCAACUUUCCUGUGCUGAACUAUGUCUUUAAGAUUGGACCAUCUAAGGAAGACAGACUGUGUUUGUGUCCAAAAACAAGCUUACAUUUUUCUUUUAAUGAGUGUGUUUUCCCUUCCUCAGGUGCAAGGGAAGAUUGUGGAGAAGUAAAGCUCUGAAGAGACCUAGAAUUGCUCCUUUAACUUGGAUCUGGAGAGGAGGCAAGAUGCUGGCAUAGCUGUUGAACUGAGAACCUGCUAUGCCAACAUAUUGCCAUCUUUCCUGUCUGACAGCGUCCAUGCCAUCUGUAUACCAUUCCUCCAUGUGUUACUAUGGAUGUGUGCCCUUCCUUGGACUUCUCCCCUCCUACCAGGCACUGAGUCAUUCACUCUGUUCUAGCCACACUGGCCCCUCUGGCUGUUCUUUGGAAGCACGGAAGAACUCCCUGCCCCUUGGCUUGCUUGCUUCUUUCUAGUUGUUUGGAUUGCAGUGAGAACAUUGCUUGUGCAGAGAAGUCUCUCUUAACUACAUUAUCUAAAGGGUAGCUUCAGUUACCCUUCAUCCCAUUACUAUGCUUUGCUUUUUCAAAAACGCAGGUUGGUACCUGAACAUAUUGUGUACUUUUUAUUGUGUGUGUGACUGUUAUCUCCUACACUAGAAGGUAAGCUCCUUGAGGCCAGUGUUAUGGCAUAGUGGAUAAAGCCACUGCCUUUGAUGCCAGCAUCCCAUAUGGAUGCUGGUUUAUGUCCCAGCUGCUCUGCUUCUGAUCUAGGUCCCUGCUAAUGGCCUGGAAAAAUAGUGAAGAUGGUCCAAGUGCUUGGGCCCCUGCUACCCAUGUGGGAGACACAUGAAGCUCCUGUCUCCUGGUUUCAGCCUGACUCAGGCCUUGCCUUUGCAGCCACUUGGGCCAGUAGAUGGAAGACAUCUUGCUUUCUUUCUCUAACUCUGACUUUCAAAUAAAGAAAGAAAUCUUAAAAAAGGAAGAAUGGAAGCUCCUUGAGGGUGAGGAAACUUCUCCUAGUUAACCACUAUAUCUCCAGAGCUUAACACAUGGUAGACCCUCAAUGCGUAUUUUUGAAACUGUAAACAUAGUCAUAGAAGAGAGAUGUCAAAAAAUUAUUUUCCUCAUUAUAAAUGGCUUUGAUGAAACCCUGGCUCACAAGUAACAAAUAAAUAAAUAAAUAAAUAAAUAAAGUUGAGUUCUUGGCACACAAAACAUAACUUUUUUUUAACUUUUAUUUAAUAAAUAUAAAUUUCCAAAGUACAGCUUUUGGAUUAUAGUGGCUUUUUCCCCCCAUAACCUCCCUCCCACCUGCAACCAUCCCAUCUCCCACUCCCUCUCCCAUCCCAUUCACAUCAAGAUUCAUUUUCAAUUAUCUUUAUAUACCGAAGGUCAAUUUAGUAUAUACUAAGUAAAGAUUUCAACAGUUUGCACCCACACAGAAACACAAAGUAUAAAGUACUGUUUGAGCACUAGUUAUACCAUUAAUUCACAUAGGACAACACAUUAAGGACAGAGAUCCUUAAGUGCACAGUGACUCCUGUAAAACAUAACUUCUUAAAGCAGUCACUAUAAAUGUAUUACUGUGUCCACAGACUCAUGGAAGUCAAAUUAUUACAGUGAGAAAAUCAUGGGCUUCAAAGUAAAAUUUUCACCUAUAACCCAUAUGUUUUUGGAAAAAUCAUUUGUCCUCUGAGCCACAGUUUUCUCAAUUGUAAAAUGAGAAGAAGAAUAUUGACCCCACAGGAUUCUUGAGAUUAAAAAAAUAAGAUAUUUUAUCCAGAUGAUUCUUACCAUUUGUCUAAAGAUUUAGUGUCUAUCAAAUUUCUGGUAUAUGCAUCUUAGUAAGCACUCAACAAUUUUAAUAAUUUUACUGCUAAAAAGUUAACUUUUUAAUUAGAAACAUAAUCUUAUGUGCAAUGUGUGGAAAUUCUAUGUGGGAACUAUAAUACAUAAAGAAUUCUAUGUCAAGACAGAAAUUUUGAGAGGACAAAGAGUUUAUUAUCUAGGGUCUCAAAUUCUUCUCUCCUGGUUAGUUUACAGUCUUCUUUUAUUUCUGGAGUUUUCAUAGAUCUGCUUUAAGAGGAUCUUUCACAGAUUCACUUUAAAAAGUAAGAAUGUUUAGUAAAUACUAUUUGAUAUGCAUGUUUUUAUGCAUUAAGGUAUUAGCAAGAAUUUUGUAUAAACUAAAAUUCUUUGGAUUAUAUUUGGAUACUUUCCAAAUAAAUAAAAUAACAGUAUUCUCAACUAUUAUUAUUUAUUGUUAUAGAGGGUAUUAUAGCUACCAUAUCCAGAAAGUGCUUAUUGUACCUGUAUUUCAUGCUGCUUAAGACUAUAUUAAUCUGAGCUAUUAAUUUAACAAAAAUGUAUAGCACAAAAGUAUGGUGAUUUUAGUCUACAAAUUUUGUAAGUAUUCUUGGGUGAUCAGUUUAAAGACAAUUUAAAAUUAACUAUGUUAGUAUGAAGUACCUUAAACAGUGUUAAGUGCUUUUCUAAGGUAUCUACAAAUGUAUUGCUUCUCUUUGUGACGUGUAUAUGCAUCAUCUUGUUUUUUCUUUCUAUUAUUGAAGUUUUUAGCCAGAAAUAAAUACACAGAAUAAUAGCCACAAGUCCUGGAAGGUCACUAUACAAGCUCAUGUUGCCCACAAAGACUUUCACGAACCCACAUAGCAGCAAUAGCUGAAAACAGAGCCAUAUCACCUUGUUCAUUCUUUAUCUUGAUAGUGAAAGUAAUUUGUCAUAAGUCAAUAGGCCUACCAGUUUUAAAAACUUGUUUCAUGAGUUUGUUUUGUCUGCCUCUGCUUUUCCCAGAUUCCCAUAUCCUCACCUACAUCAAUUACAGAGAUACCCACUGUCCCCCUGACUUCAGUGCAAUUGAUGAGCUGGAUUCCAAGCAUGGAAAUUAACUUUGAACUUACUUAUAUCAACCUUCCACAUAUGAAUGUGUUUUAUUAUAAUUACUAAACACCUGAACCUUCUUUUGUAAUUCCAAGUGAACAAUCAAGGAGAAGAUACCUCAAAACCUGGGGCAUGAGAAAAUCAAAGUGAGAGGCUAAGAAAUUCGUAGUCAAAAGAACCCAAUAACUCUCCAUGUCAUUGGUUUUCAGACUUUCAUGUUAUACCUGUAAAGUUUGCUUAAAAAUGCAGAUCCUCAAACCAUACCCUAAAUUUUCUGAUUUAAUAGAUCAUAAGUAAGGCUUAAGAAUAUUCACUAAAAUUUUAAUUUUUCUAUUUAUUUUUAUUUGAUGCAUAACAAGUGGGCAUCAUGUAGAAAUCAUUUUUAAGGUGCACCCUAUUGAUUUCAAUCCAGUUUAACAAUAUUCUAUAUUUUGAGAAUAUUUUUCUUGCAUCCUAAGUCAGAGGGCAGGUUUUUAGAAAUCUUACAUAGAUCCCAGUAAGGAACUCGGGCAUGCUUUUGAAAUGAGCCUGCUGUCCCACUGCAUCUGUGCUUAUGGAAAACUGGAACAAUGUUGUAUAAUUGUGCUUUAUCCUCUGAGGUUUCUUAUAUAAACAGCCCAGAUAACUGCACACAGGAGCAUGGCACCAUGGGUUGCCCAUGUGCUUCUGCAGAGUUGUUUUUAACUUCAAUAUUCUUUUCUCCACUGGUUCACAUUACAGUUUCCAAGAUGUUUUCUUUUCUGAUUGACUUGAUCUUGACCCAAAUCCUUUACCUCUAAAUUUUCCUUUUUCUCUAGGAUUUCUGUCAAAUUGUAAGUGAUACAUGAGCUCCUUGAGGCUAACGACUAAGUCUAAUUAUGUAGAGGGUGAAUUUUCAAGAUUUAUAGGAGACUCUUGCACUGGUAAAUCUUUCUGUAAACCAAAAGAUCAUAUCUUAAUUGAUUUAUUUCUUUAGAUUCUUGUGGUUGUUUUCUUUUAAUUGGGCUGUCUAGUUCUAUGUCAGACAAUGAAAAGUAGAAAGAUCUUCAGAAUAAAAUAUAAAAAGAUCUGGGCUCUAGCUGUAUCAUUUAAGCAGUAGACAUGAUUUGGGGAAGAUCAUUUUUUCUAUUGUCUCAUUUUUAAGUUGAGGGUAAUUGUAGGAGAGAUUAUAUGAUAUUUUAGAAAGAAAAAAGGGGAAACAAAAAUAACAAAACUAAGUGUAUAGGUAAAAUGGAAGAUAAUUUACAAAAAGGAAAUAGUUUGAGAUUUUAGCAAUAAUUUUAUUUAAAACUUUUUCAUUCAUUUAUUUUUUGUUAUCUAAUUCAAAUAUGAAAAAAAAAAACCAAACAGUUCUAAGCAAGAGGCAGAAAACUUUUGUUCUCAUCCAACCUGAAUCACUUGCUGGUUUCAGUUGAAAAAGAAAUGUGGUAUUUGAGUUAGCUUUAUCUGGAGGAAAAGUCCUGCUUUUCAUAUACUUUUUAAAAGUCUGUAAAUACAAUGAUAAUGAUUCUAUGACUUUGUCACUUUCUAUCUCUUUGUCCUAUUAAGAGACUCACAUCAGAUAAAGUAUAUGAAACUUUUGAAAAUGAUAAGAAAUGCUGGAAAUAGAGGAUCUAAGGUAUUGUAUAUAAAUCUCUUCCAAUCUUUCCCCCCUUCCCUUCACUCCUACAAAAGGUUGCUUUUGAAAUGACUCGAGUUUUAAUAAAAUUCAACUGUUUUAUUCUAAGCAUGGUAAUAAUGUUUUCAUUUGUAGGAUUUUAAUUACCAUAUGUUUGUAGCAACCAGACAGCUAGACCCAUAGGAGAUUUGCAUGUUGGGCCCAUCUGCUUUCAGCUAUGACCACCUAGAAAUGCAGAUGCAGAGGUAGGAAGCCUAGGAGCAUCCACUAAAAUGGGUUUCCUGUUCCAUCAACACCUGUCUCAAAACCACAUUAACACCUAUCUAGUACUGUUAAUUCUCGCUGAAACUUAGAUGAUAUUUAUUCAUAUAUGAAUAUUUUAUUUUUUAAUAUCUACUAGAAAAUAUACAUUGGAGUUUAUUUUCAAAAGGAACUUUGUUGGAGUGGGCAUUUUAGUGUGGUGAGUUAAGCCACUGCUUGGGCCAUUUUGAGUCCCAGCUACUCAACUGUUGAUUCAGCUUGCUGAUAAUGUGUCUGGGAAGCAGCAGAUAAUGGACCUGAAUGGAGUUGCUGGCUCCCGGCUUCAGCCUAGCCCUGUUCCAUCUAUUGCGGCUAUCUGGGAAGUGAACCAACAAUGGAAGCUUGUUGUCUCUCUCUCUCACUCUGCCUUUCAUAAAUUUUACAAAAAAAAUUUAAACUUAAGAUUUUGAAAGUUAAAUAACUUAAAUACAAUGUGAAGACAAUUAUGAUACGUGAAUAUGACAAAAAUUGUGAAAGUGCUGCUCAAAUAGCCAAAUUUUGGGAAGGAAUUCGUUAGGAAUUCAGGUAACAAUAUCCUAUUGCAGAGUAGCAAGGGGAAGCUUCAUAGAGAAUGUAUUAACUGUUACCUGAAUUGUAUUUAAUGUUUAGUUCAGUUUGAAAAAGAUGUGUGUUAUUCUUGGAUGAAGAAAUUUUAGUUUUAAGUGAGGAUCGUUGGACUUUGCCUUGCCUGCAAAUUGCAAAUAUUUCAUGUAUUUAUAUGCUGUUAAAGAUUAUCAGUAUUUUAAGACAUUAUUAUAUCUAUGUCUUUGACAACAAAUUCCAUUUGAUAAAAAAGUUCAUGUUUAAGUUAUUAUUCUGAGUAUUUGAGUAAAUGUAUGUAAAUGAAAAGGUAAUCCUCAUUGCUAAACUGUGGCAGUUUAUAUUGGUGGAACAGGCAAAUUCUCUGCAUAUAUGCAACAAAAGCUGAAAACCUUUCUUAAAUAAUAAAGUUGCAGCAUUUCAGCUUAUAUAAGUGGGAGCAUUUGCCUUACAUUGAUUGCAUAGUGCCAUGAGACACGCAAAUUAGAAAAAUGACAGCAAAGAUAAUUUGUUAAAUUUGAGAUUCAAAAUCCGUAAGUCCAAAAAGAUCUGUAGUGAGCAGAAUCAUCAAACAGGUACAAGGUAACAUAACAGAUGAAUUAUAAGAAAAUGAUAUAGGUACUGGGUUGCAAACCACCUUCAUAGUUUGCAUGCUUUGGAAAUAUGUUCAAUUUAAUUGCUUAACUUUACAGAAAAGUGAGUGAUUUCACUUGCUGAUUCCUGACUAAUUACUUGGCCAUUUAAAGAAUUCCUAGAAGAACAUUCAUGGAAUUUGUAUGAGCCAGAUUGCUCUUUGCCCAUUUUUUAAACCCAGCUUUCCACUUGCAAAUUUUUUCUGACUUUUUAAAUUGUCUCUGGACUUCAGAGACUUUUCACAGAUAAAUUUAGGUUGGCUCUAUUGCUGCAUCUGGAGAGAGAGAAGUUACCUUGGAAAGGAAAUCCAAAUAUAAUCUACAUAAAGGAAGAAUUGCACAGGAGAAUGAAAAAGAGGAUAAAGGCAAAACAAAGCAAGCAAAUACAAUUGAUGCUAAGUCUACAAACUGAAAAAUAAGAGAAAGCUCACAUUUCAAAACUAAAAUGAUUAGAGUCUCUAGGUGAAUAUUUUCCCUAAAAUUAAUGUACUUUGCAUAAUUCUGAGAACUGAAUAUACAAACUUUUUUUUAGAAAUACAGAAAACUUUUACUCAACUUACUAUGUCUGGCCCAGAUCUUUUUUCCAGUUAUUUAUUCAUCUUCAGUAUUUAUUAAGUACUUUCCAUAUACCAAGUACAUAAUGCCUCUCCAUGGUUUACCAGCUCCAAAAAGAAAAAAAAAAAGAUAAAUAAGCACUGCAAGGUUGGUUUUGGUAAGGAAGUACUGUUUUUGUGUGGGGAAGCAUAAUAAGAGAACCUAAUUUAGACAGGAGAUGCUGAAGGAAAACCAUACAAAAGGAAGAGGUUUGUUUUUUGUUUGUUUGUUUGUUUUUUAACAGGUGGAGAGAAGGAGAAAGAAUAUCCCAGGCCCUGAAGCUAGAAAUUUUGGAACAUUGAGAACUGAGAUGUCUGAAAUGUUGAGAUUAGUGAGGAAAAGAGGGAAUGGGAUAUGCAGUGUAGGGACAGGGACCAAUGCAGAUCUCCUAAGCUUUAUUAAGGAUAUAGGUAACAUGGUAAGUGCAAUGAGGAGCCAUUGAAGGAUUUGAAGUCACUGCCCAUAAGGUUUUUUUUCUUGAAUAUUCACAUUCUCUCCACAGUUUUACUCACUUCUACCCUCUUGCAAGUCCUAAAACUUAAACCCCUUAAUUCUGUCACUACUCAUUAUUACUGACCCACUGCUUUUUGUACCACAAACUUUUAGGGAAAAAAAAAAAAAAGCUAGUGUUGUUUCUACAUCUCCAUCACUUACUAACUUUGACUCUCCAAUCUGUCUUUCAUUCUUGUAACUAAAGUGGAACUGCACUUCCUAAGGAUAUUCCUAACUUAAUAGUCAUCCAACCCAUGGGUCACAUUGACUAAGUUCACUCUCAAUUCCUUCAGAUCUCUGUC
Molecule: non-coding RNA, 39191 nt
Organism: Oryctolagus cuniculus (rabbit)
Lineage: Eukaryota; Metazoa; Chordata; Mammalia; Lagomorpha; Leporidae
Source: RefSeq, a predicted model, not a curated record